GAGUUAACAUUCCCUCUGAUUCUCACAAGUCUGGCUAUGUCUCCAGAAAAAAAGAAAAAAAAGAAAAAAAAAGAAAAAGAAAAAGAAAAAAAAAGCCGUCAAUCACAGAUGACUUGGAUUCAACCGCGUCUUCUUUGAUUAUUUUGACACAUUUUGACAAAAUCUAAACCUAGAAACAACGGAAGAACUGACCUCAGACAGCCUGAGAUUCGCAGCACCGGCUUUUCGCGUGAAGGAAAUUCUGGACCUGAAUGAUACCUGCACUGAAAUCUGCUUUGCUUCUCUCCCCCCACCCCGACCCCCAGAUCUUGAGGUCCUUCCCUGAGAAAUGAAGAAUUUCAUUUGCUGCUGUUAAAAGUGCUCAAAGCAGAGAGCCCUCAACGAGUACUUCAUCUGAGACUAGAAGACGGUUCAGUCCAUCGAGUGCUUGCUCUGAGUUUGAACACCAGAAACUGUACAGAAAUGCCAGGAGUUCAAUACUCAGAACCUUGUAAUCUCAUUGCUGGGGAGACAGAGACAGAUGGAUGGAGCCUGCAAUGCACUGGCUAGCCAGUUAAGCCAACUUGGUUAUCUUCUUAAUGUCCACCCAGUGCGGUCUCAAGAUUCUAGCUGGUGAUGGAGAAGACCACCAUGAUGUCACAGACGCUCAAGACAGAGUUGAGAAACGAAUGGUGUGAUGAUAAGUGAUUCAUCCAAAAGGGAAAUUAUGAAGACUCUCACAGCACAUGAAAGUAAGGCUGAUAAUUGUGGAAUGUGUUGCUCAGCUUGAAGAAAAUCUUAGGAAUCUCUUCUGAUCUACUGGUUGGUGGCUUUCUGUGAGGCAGGGAUCUAUGUUCUUCAGGUUGGAUUCAAACUCAUGACCCUUCUGCUUCGACAUCCUGAUUUCUGAGGCUGCAGGGGUGUACUCCACUAUCUUAUGUAUGGCUCUCUCUACAAUCUGAGAUCUCGUGUAUGCUAAGUGUAUCUGAAACUCAUAAACAAAUAGUGCACACAGA
Molecule: non-coding RNA, 995 nt
Organism: Rattus norvegicus (Norway rat)
Lineage: Eukaryota; Metazoa; Chordata; Mammalia; Rodentia; Muridae
Source: RefSeq, a predicted model, not a curated record